UUUAUGGAGAGUUUGAUCCUGGCUCAGGAUGAACGCUGGCGGCGUGCCUAAUACAUGCAAGUCGAGCGAACGGACGAGAAGCUUGCUUCUCUGAUGUUAGCGGCGGACGGGUGAGUAACACGUGGAUAACCUACCUAUAAGACUGGGAUAACUUCGGGAAACCGGAGCUAAUACCGGAUAAUAUUUUGAACCGCAUGGUUCAAAAGUGAAAGACGGUCUUGCUGUCACUUAUAGAUGGAUCCGCGCUGCAUUAGCUAGUUGGUAAGGUAACGGCUUACCAAGGCAACGAUGCAUAGCCGACCUGAGAGGGUGAUCGGCCACACUGGAACUGAGACACGGUCCAGACUCCUACGGGAGGCAGCAGUAGGGAAUCUUCCGCAAUGGGCGAAAGCCUGACGGAGCAACGCCGCGUGAGUGAUGAAGGUCUUCGGAUCGUAAAACUCUGUUAUUAGGGAAGAACAUAUGUGUAAGUAACUGUGCACAUCUUGACGGUACCUAAUCAGAAAGCCACGGCUAACUACGUGCCAGCAGCCGCGGUAAUACGUAGGUGGCAAGCGUUAUCCGGAAUUAUUGGGCGUAAAGCGCGCGUAGGCGGUUUUUUAAGUCUGAUGUGAAAGCCCACGGCUCAACCGUGGAGGGUCAUUGGAAACUGGAAAACUUGAGUGCAGAAGAGGAAAGUGGAAUUCCAUGUGUAGCGGUGAAAUGCGCAGAGAUAUGGAGGAACACCAGUGGCGAAGGCGACUUUCUGGUCUGUAACUGACGCUGAUGUGCGAAAGCGUGGGGAUCAAACAGGAUUAGAUACCCUGGUAGUCCACGCCGUAAACGAUGAGUGCUAAGUGUUAGGGGGUUUCCGCCCCUUAGUGCUGCAGCUAACGCAUUAAGCACUCCGCCUGGGGAGUACGACCGCAAGGUUGAAACUCAAAGGAAUUGACGGGGACCCGCACAAGCGGUGGAGCAUGUGGUUUAAUUCGAAGCAACGCGAAGAACCUUACCAAAUCUUGACAUCCUUUGACAACUCUAGAGAUAGAGCUUUCCCCUUCGGGGGACAAAGUGACAGGUGGUGCAUGGUUGUCGUCAGCUCGUGUCGUGAGAUGUUGGGUUAAGUCCCGCAACGAGCGCAACCCUUAAGCUUAGUUGCCAUCAUUAAGUUGGGCACUCUAAGUUGACUGCCGGUGACAAACCGGAGGAAGGUGGGGAUGACGUCAAAUCAUCAUGCCCCUUAUGAUUUGGGCUACACACGUGCUACAAUGGACAAUACAAAGGGCAGCGAAACCGCGAGGUCAAGCAAAUCCCAUAAAGUUGUUCUCAGUUCGGAUUGUAGUCUGCAACUCGACUACAUGAAGCUGGAAUCGCUAGUAAUCGUAGAUCAGCAUGCUACGGUGAAUACGUUCCUGGUCUUGUACACACCGCCCGUCACACCACGAGAGUUUGUAACACCCGAAGCCGGUGGAGUAACCUUUUAGGAGCUAGCCGUCGAAGGUGGGACAAAUGAUUGGGGUGAAGUCGUAACAAGGUAGCCGUAUCGGAAGGUGCGGCUGGAUCACCUCCUUU
RNAcentral lists this ribosomal RNA (1551 nucleotides) under Staphylococcus aureus. Its description in RNAcentral is "16S ribosomal RNA". It matches the Rfam family "Bacterial small subunit ribosomal RNA". Lineage: Bacteria; Bacillati; Bacillota; Bacilli; Caryophanales; Staphylococcaceae. The record is from RNAcentral.